CUCAACCUCCUAACAAGGUAGACAGAUUUUAAACCAAAGAAGUUCAGUGUGGUGCUGUAGUCUCUGCAGGCUGCUUUUAUAUUUUGUGUACGUUAAAUGUUGUACACAAACUCAGAACCACACAUUGAGAAGGUAAUCUUGUGACCUCAUACUACUCUCAUAAUGCUUUGAGGUGCCUUCGAUUUUUUCGACUUUUAGCUGUAGGUUUGUUAAGCAGGUUUUGUGGUGUUUGAUUGUGUUGAAACAUGUUUUUUUGUGGUUAGUUUGGUGUUUUGGGGUUAUUGUUUGUUUGUUUUUUUUUGCAAUUCUGAGCAUCCACCAUAAUGAUGUCUCUUAGACAGAGUACGCACCUUAUAUAGGCAAUGUCUGACUAUGCAUAAUCUUCAUAUGGAAAAAGGAAUACUGAAUGGUAGAGGUGUAACUGCUGUCAAGAUUGUCUAAUGCAAAAAUGUAAAAAGUAGGAGAGGAGGAGCAAAAGGCUGCAUCCUCUCCUACUGUUGGACAGGUUAAAGUGGUUAUUUGUUUUAUUUUAUUUAUAUUAUAAUAUGAUUUUGUGUGGAAUUAUUGUGAAUUUAUUUUCGACUUCUGUUUAUUUGUUGUGAUUAUUGUGGAGUGUAUUUUGGAUUUUUUGUCUAUUUGCUGUGAUGUGUGCUGUGUUUUGGGGUGGUUCGUCACUGAUAAUUUCUUUAAGACAGUCUAAUUACCCGAACAGCUGAAACUGCUUCUUGCAAUCCCCUUUUUUUUCGCCAAUCAGAGCAGCGGGAGAGCGCGGGCAUGUCGGGACUCUUAUUUUAAAAGGUGGACUCUUAUCGUGUGGCAGAGAGCAGCAACAGGGCAGGAAGCGGGGCUCGGGAAGGGGACGCGCGGGCGAGUCGGAAGUGCUCAGACUCAGGAGCGGCAGCGGUGGACUCGGCGUGAGUGAGCCGGAGUACAGACCGCGAGGCUGGCUGGAAGAGUGUGGCACUUGCAGCAGACCUGGGAGGUUACUGAAGCAGGAGCACGCGGUGACGACGGCGGCCGUCGGAAGCGCGUUGGACUGGUGACCGAGGGUCGAGCCAUACACUGUGGGCAAGCGGCUGCUGGUUCUGAGUACAGUUUUGACUGUGCUCAGAGCGGUGUGAGUACAAACAGCCUUUUUAUUUACAGUGUAUGUGGCUGUAGAGUGAUAGUUGGCUUGCUGUUAUGAGGAGUUUUAUUCAGCAAACUGCAUAAGUUAAGCUUUUGUUUUAUUCACCUCUGCAUUAUAUAUUAGAGGCUGAUUAGUUUAAAGGAACUAGUUACUGUUCAUCCUUUCCUGUGCCCUGUUAGGGACGUGAGUGGACCCUGUGGACUGAAGAGCUGCGUCUGCCUGCCCUGGAAGCUGUUCAUCCUAGAGACUGGGACAGUUUAUGUUGUGUUUUGUUUGUUUUAUAUUAAUUUUGCUCCUUUUUUUGUUGUUUAUUGAUAUCCAUUCUGGUCUAAGGUUUUUAACCUUAAGUUAUGCAAAUAUUUUUAAUCUGAUGCAUGAUUUUAGCUGGUUUAUUGGCUAGAGGUAACAAUAAUUAAUAAAAGGCUUUGUUACUUAUUUUUGUUGUUGUUGUUUCCUAAGGGUAAUCUUACUGGUAUAGACUAUAUUCCCUCCCAAACUGAAUAAUAUUUAUAGUAAUUAAGCUAAGUUAGUUCCAGGGGAUACUUAGUGUGUAAUAUUUGUGUCCAUUGUUAAAUUUAAUGAUUGGGUUGUGCGUGGGAUAAUUAAGUCCCCUUGUGGAUAAACUCACUGGGUAAAAUUUGUGAUCCCUCUUUUCUUUUUUUUUUUUCUUCACCACUCAAUUUGGAUUAUUGUAGGUUUAGGACCUUAACACAUGCACCCUUGUAUUUUGUCCCUGGGACACUACCCCGGAAUAAGGUAGAGGAAUCAAGGAGAGGAGGAGGAGGAAUGGAGGGAAGGAGCUGUAAUUAGGGAAAUGGGACAGCUGAUCCCUUUUAGAUAAGAUGUUGACUACCAAUGAACUGAGCCAAUCACAACGCUCACUUUCAGCACAUGCCGGAUACUGCCCAGCCAAUUCUAGAGAUCAUAAAAAACGAUUCUAGAGAUCAUAACUUUGACAAGCAUAUCAAGCUUUAAAGUACAGCCUGAUUAGCCAUUGAUGAAGGUUGCAUAUGUAAAUAUUAAAUUAUUUUAAGUUAAAUAUGAUUUCAUUGAAUGUAAUAAAACAAAUAACAAAUAUUAAUAAAUAAUACUUAUAAUAAUAAAUGUAUCGUCUGUUUUUUUUUUAAGCGGCUUCUAUCAUCUCCUACCGUACUCGGACAGGUGGCAAGAUGCCGUCACAAAAUCAAUUUCCGGGUCACGGAGGAGAGGAGGAGGAUCGGUAGGAAAAAGGAGACACUUUUGGGGUUUCUGGACGCAGCCUCUGUUUAAGAUCUACAAUCUUACACCAAUUUGAGAAGUCCAACAGUUCUGAGAACCAAUGUCGUUUACCGCUGUCUCUUUGCUGUAAAGAUGCUUGAAGAUGAGGAAGAAGACACCGCAGACAUUGCCUUAGGUGUAAUACAAUUAUUUAUUACAAAAGAGAAAUUUUCUGUCUGCCUCCUAGGCGGCCAUAUUCCAUAUUAUAAAAAUGGAGGAAUUAAUAAAGAAGUUGUUUUGUGACUUCA
This is a long non-coding RNA of Astyanax mexicanus (Mexican tetra), 2634 nucleotides long. RefSeq lists it as uncharacterized. NCBI's taxonomy places the organism in Eukaryota, Metazoa, Chordata, Actinopteri, Characiformes, Acestrorhamphidae. The record is from RefSeq and is a predicted model, not a curated record. The transcript has 2 exons.